Molecule: ribosomal RNA, 465 nt
Filed under: Vreelandella stevensii
Lineage: Bacteria; Pseudomonadati; Pseudomonadota; Gammaproteobacteria; Oceanospirillales; Halomonadaceae
Description: partial 16S ribosomal RNA
Rfam family: Bacterial small subunit ribosomal RNA
Source: RNAcentral
CCUACGGGCGGCAGCAGUGGGGAAUAUUGGACAAUGGGGGGAACCCUGAUCCAGCCAUGCCGCGUGUGUGAAGAAGGCCCUCGGGUUGUAAAGCACUUUCAGUGAGGAAGAACGCCUGGUGGUUAAUACCCAUCAGGAAAGACAUCACUCACAGAAGAAGCACCGGCUAACUCCGUGCCAGCAGCCGCGGUAAUACGGAGGGUGCGAGCGUUAAUCGGAAUUACUGGGCGUAAAGCGCGCGUAGGUGGCUUGAUAAGCCGGUUGUGAAAGCCACGGGCUCAACCUGGGAACGGCAUCCGGAACUGUCAAGCUAGAGUGCAGGAGAGGAAGGUAGAAUUCCCGGUGUAGCGGUGAAAUGCGUAGAGAUCGGGAGGAAUACCAGUGGCGAAGGCGGCCUUCUGGACUGACACUGACACUGAGGUGCGAAAGCGUGGGUAGCAAACAGGAUUAGAUACCCCGGUAGUC